Molecule: ribosomal RNA, 253 nt
Filed under: uncultured bacterium
Lineage: Bacteria
Description: partial 16S ribosomal RNA
Rfam family: Bacterial small subunit ribosomal RNA
Source: RNAcentral
UACGUAGGGGGCUAGCGUUGUCCGGAAUCAUUGGGCGUAAAGCGCGUGUAGGCGGUCCGGUAAGUCCGCUGUGAAAGUCAGGGGCUCAACCCUCGAAAGCCGGUGGAUACUGUCGGGCUAGAGUGCGGAAGAGGCGAGUGGAAUUCCUGGUGUAGCGGUGAAGUGCGCAGAUAUCAGGAGGAACACCGGUGGCGAAGGCGGGUCUCUGGGCAGCAACUGACGCUGAGGAGCGAAAGCGUGGGGAGCGAACAGG